AUCAAUUGGCUAAAAGAAACUAUGAAUGAAUGGAGUUGUUGGGAUUUACAAUUUCAUCUUAUCCACCCUCUUACAUCUACUUUUCUUAUCUAAUUCGCUUAUUUAUCAUAUUGUCAUGCAAACUUUCUUGGUCUACCCUUAACCCAAUUCCUUGGCGAAAAUAGCCUAUUACUAAUUACCGGCUUGUUAUUCCUAGCCUCUCCUAGUAACUAAUAAUGCAUGAUAAGCAGAAGCAAAAUACAAUUGAUCGUCCUACCCCUAUUCCUAGGCGGUAUUAGCAUAAUCAAGGAAUUCC
Molecule: long non-coding RNA, 295 nt
Filed under: Vigna radiata
Lineage: Eukaryota; Viridiplantae; Streptophyta; Magnoliopsida; Fabales; Fabaceae
Description: long non-coding RNA (VRAD_LNC000749)
Source: RNAcentral